GGGGCGGUAGCUCAGCUGGUCAGAGCAGGGAACUCAUAAUUCCUCGGUCACGGGUUCAAGUCCCGUCCGCCCUACGA
This 77-nucleotide transfer RNA is filed under the name Leifsonia sp. CL154. RNAcentral's name for it is "tRNA_Met_CAT". It matches the Rfam family "tRNA". Rfam says of the family: Transfer RNA (tRNA) molecules are approximately 80 nucleotides in length. Their secondary structure includes four short double-helical elements and three loops (D, anti-codon, and T loops). RNAcentral also lists the same sequence under 1 other name. Lineage: Bacteria; Bacillati; Actinomycetota; Actinomycetes; Micrococcales; Microbacteriaceae. The record is from RNAcentral.